AGGGGAUGCUGGUGGUGAUGCUGUUGCCCUGGAGACCACACUUCGAGAGCUGCUGAGUAACACGAAGACCUGCAGCAUGAAGUGACAACAUGUGUUUGGGAAACUAAGACAACAAGCCCACACUCCUUGUCCUCAGGCGGAGAGCCUCUCUGGAGUGCUCCGAAGGGCUCCCUUUUGCCACCAGCUUCACAAAGGGAGGAUUCAGAGCCCCGAAGACCAUCUGGCACAGUGAGAGACAGAAGCUUUUUACAGUACCGGCUUUCAGUGGAUGGACAGCCCCCGGCCUGUAGCAGUGGACUUGAAUAGGUCUAACUUGAUACAAAAAAUUCCAGGUGAGCAACAGAGCAACACGUUAAAUAAAGUCAAGAUAACUGUUCAAGGAUGCAAGUCUGCCCUGCACACUGCCCCCAGCCCCCCACCUGCCCUCGGUGGAUGCUACUGCCUGGGAUAAGAAGCAGUCAGUUCUUGUCAAAGGUUUUUCUCCAGGGCAGCCCAGCAGUGGAUGCAAGCUCUCUUCUGUGGACUCGAGUGGGUGAGCAUUUGGGGAAAGUGCAUCUUGGAACUUCCCUGGCAGUCCAGUGUUAAGAUUAUGAGUGUCCUCUGUAAGGGACAUGGGUUUGAUCUCUGGUUGGUGAACUGAGAUCCCACAUGCCUUGUGGAGCGGCCAAAAAAAAAAAUGAAGAAAAAGAAAGUGCAUCUUAAUGUGUUCAUGUUCUGGAAGGCACAGUCCCCCACUUCUGUCCUGUGAAUGAUAAGUCACCCAUGUGUUUCAGGUCAAGGAGCCUAAGGCUGAGGAAUUCCUGUCUUGUACAAGAAUUGAAGCAGUCAGUUCUAUGGUUUUUCUCCAGAAUGCUCCAGAUAUUCAAAGUUCUGUUUGGGCAGCAGGCUGCCCAUGAUCUUCCUGGUUGAUAUGGAAAUGGGCUGUAAAUUCAUGAUAACAUGUCCGUCUAUGCCCCCCCCCACACACAC
Cervus elaphus (red deer) is the source of this 969-nucleotide long non-coding RNA. RefSeq lists it as uncharacterized. The transcript has 4 exons. NCBI's taxonomy places the organism in Eukaryota, Metazoa, Chordata, Mammalia, Artiodactyla, Cervidae. The record is from RefSeq and is a predicted model, not a curated record.